RNAcentral lists this long non-coding RNA (2241 nucleotides) under Anser brachyrhynchus (Pink-footed goose). RNAcentral's name for it is "lncRNA (ENSABRG00000002525.1)". The record is from RNAcentral. Lineage: Eukaryota; Metazoa; Chordata; Aves; Anseriformes; Anatidae.
AAGGAAGGAAGGAAGGAAGGAAGGAAGGAAGGACGGAAGGAAGGAUGGAAGGAAGGAAGGAAGAAAAAGACAAUUCUAUUAUACUUUCUGAAAGGACUCAUUAGACUACAAGAGGAAGUGUGCAGAGGAUAAUUGCAUAAGAACAAGCCAAAUACUGCAAUAUUACUGUAGGUCAGAAGAAGAAGGCUAUGAAAUGUGGGCACCUACACACAUCACGGCUACUAAGGAGAAAGGAAAGGUACAUGGUAUUCUCUAGAACAGGAGAUUUAUACACAACUAUUCACUGUUUUGAAAGCAUAUUAUUGAACACAAAUGUAAUUCAGAGACUGUAAAGGCCCUAACACAAGCAAUAUUAUCAUUCACUUGUGACUGGAGAAUUUUUGGAUCUUCAAACCUAGCAACUUACCGAAAGAAAAAGCUAGUCCAUUAAAUGGAAACCAGGAACAAAGGAUAAUCUUAAUGCGCUAUCUGAUUGGCAGCAGGAUGUAUGGCCGAACCUUCUGGAGCAUGUCAAAGUUGUGCCAGCAGAUUAGGGAGUAAGAAAGUUUUCUUUAUUCCCAACCAUAAUCUUGCAACAUGCGUGGACUGCUUAGACCUCAAGCCCCAGCUACUUCUGAUGACAGAAAGCUGCACUCCAAUGACAGCAGGAACACCAGCAAGCCAUCCUUGCUAGCACUGCAAGCACAGGAUGAAGCAUCGCUCUGAGAGCCUUGGAUGAAGAGUGGGGUGUUGAGAGCUCUGCUCCCAGGUCUGUCAAGUAUUGACUGGGAUAAACCAACAAGGCCACUUUUAGAGGACUGGAGCCAAAACAACCAGCCAAAGUGUCAGGGGGGAAAAAUCGAUUUGCAAAUGACAGUUUCCAGUGGUAGAGAAAUAGACAGUUCUCAGUGAUUAAAAGCUGGAAAUGAUGUUUCAAGCCAAAGGAACAAGAAGAGUGCUUUGUUUACUUCUUUAUGGUACAAGUUUCUCUUUAUACCGCUUUGGAAAUGGGUAUUUUACAACAUUUAAGCCACAAUCAAAGUUCACUAAAAUCAAAAUAAUCUCAGGCCAGAUUAGUGAAUUUCUGGCUUGACGAAGCAUGUCAGUACAGAAACACUGACUGCUUAAUGUCAUGACCUUUCCCCUAAGCUGUUUGUCUUUGGUUCCUGAGCUGCACUUCUUUCUUUUUGCCUUUGAGCCCAUGGCCUAGCACCAUGCCCGUGCCCCACCAUGGAGCACAGGCCAAGGUCACGUUUCUGCAGAGGUCACAGGCCCACCAGAAUUCACAUUUCUUUGUAGUCACAUGUCAUUUCUCUCCUGUCAUGGAAAAAUUAAUUAGCUUUCCUUGUAUACCCCCAUACUGAGAAUGGAGUUCUUCAUUUCCUUUGAGAGGAAGGGUGCUGCUUCCUUUCUUUACUGGGUGAACAUCAGCAAAUGAAAAUCAUUACUGGACUCACUCAAUGUAUUUGUCAGGAGAUAUUUUAGGUGAAGGGAAAUUUCUUUCACAGGACAUUGCCUCACAAAUGCUCAAUCUGAAGUUCAGAGGAAAAAUGAAGUGAAAAUGUUGGCUUUCACCAGCUGAGAUAGGAGCCUUUUUAAGGCCAGAUUCUGUAAGUAGCAGGGCAAUUUCCAUCACAUGAGCAGUUCCAUCUAUUUUUGCACAAAUGUCAUUAUGCAGAAACACACAGAUCAAGGAUGAAGCUUUCGCUACUGCUUUCCACCAAAGCCAUUAUCCAGACUUCUUUCCCUUUCUCUUGGAACUUAUGUUCAUACCAAACCUGACAUCUUCCAUUACCAUCUCAACAUCCUACUUGGAUGAAUUUUGAUGUGAAAAUCCUGAUUGUUCCCAACUCUAGCCAUUAUUCCACUUAGCUGAAGUACUCAGCUUCAUGAAAAUGACAAGGGGGAUGUUGCUACACACAGGCUGUUCAUUAAUCAACACUAUAUAUUUAAUUUUUAUUUUUAUGGUGUGACAAUGUGACUACAUCCACUCUAUAGUAUUAGUGAAUAAUUAGCAGAGAAAGUUUCUGUGACUCAGGAACUUCCUCCUCCUUUACUGGAACAAUGUGAGAAUCUCUGAAUCUAAGCAUGUGGAGAUGGACAUCAGAAGUUGCUAGCAAUGUGUCCUUGGCAUAAAUAUCAAAAUGAUCAAGAAUUCAUCCUAUGCCUCUUUGACUAGCUGUCUUCUUUAUUUCCUGUGAGAUGGUCUUUACUAGAGUAGUGUAACGAAUAAUAAAGACAAAUUUACAUCACUGAAGAGCA